Molecule: ribosomal RNA, 301 nt
Filed under: uncultured bacterium
Lineage: Bacteria
Description: partial 16S ribosomal RNA
Rfam family: Bacterial small subunit ribosomal RNA
Source: RNAcentral
CAGUAGCCACGGGAAUACGGAGGGAGCUAGCGUUGUUCGGAAUUACUGGGCGUAAAGCGCGCGUAGGCGGUUACUCAAGUCAGAGGUGAAAGCCCGGGGCUCAACCCCGGAACUGCCUUUGAAACUAGGUGACUAGAAUCUUGGAGAGGUCAGUGGAAUUCCGAGUGUAGAGGUGAAAUUCGUAGAUAUUCGGAAGAACACCAGUGGCGAAGGCGACUGACUGGACAAGUAUUGACGCUGAGGUGCGAAAGCGUGGGGAGCAAACAGGAUUAGAUACCCGGGUAGUCCCUGUCUCUUAUAC